UAACCGCCAUGUCAGGGGAGAGCGCGAACGCAGUCCCCCACUACCACAAAUUAUGCAGUCGAGUUUCCCGCAUUUGGGGAAAUCGCAGGGGUCAGCACACCCGGAGUGCAAGGGAUGAGCCUCGCCCUGGGAAAACCACCUGCCUGAUCAUGGUGUCUCCCCUGCCAGGUAAGUAUGACUCCGUCUCCCCGGCCCCGCCGCGCCCGCCCCGCGCACCCACCCCGACCACACGCUCACCGACCCCCCGGCCCCGCCCCCGCGCGGCCCCGCGCUCCCCACCGUCCCGCACGGCCCCGCCCGCACAGCAGCGCCCGCGGACGCGCGUGGCCGCGGGGUCUGUGUGCGGGACGUGUCCCGGCGUCCCCCGCGAGCGCUGAAUGAUUUGCAUGGACACGCCCCCAUCCCCGAGGCCCCGCCCCGGGCCCCGCGCGCAGGGCAGCGCCCCCUGGCGGAUCCUCCCGACUGGAUUGGGAUCCGUUGGAUCCCUGGGAACGGAGGGAAGCGGGGGCUGUUUGGUUAACGGGCCUUUGGUUGGGCAGCUCGUGCCGGGGCUUAGAAGGAAACUCGGGAAGAGAGAAGGAGCACCGGGGGCGGUUGUUUCCCCAGGGAUGUCUGUAACCACAGGGAAGAGGGAGAAGGGAAGGAAGAGAGCCGGGUGAAAUUCCCAAAUCCCUUGUCAGCCGCCCCAACUGACGUGCAGGGACAUGGAGGAGGCAGAGGGCCGAGUGUCCUUCGCCAUUGCUUGGGCAGCAUUUGCUGGGCAAGUUAAAUGCACAGUUGACUUUUCCUCAGGACUCUGUCCAGCUGCAUAUUCCUCUGGAAAACGCAUGGAAAGCACAGCUCUGCCCACUCCCCGAGGGAAACCUGCAGACAAGGGAAUCUCCAGUGAAGUUUUAGGUGCAGUUGUACCAUUGGUUUGGGCUCUGGGAACCCCGGGAUGAGCGAGAAGCCCGAGUCUGGUAAAAACUGAACUGAAACCAGGAGUCCAACCAGUAAGAAAAGACCAACACCCCAGAAAAUGAGGGGUCUGGAAAGGACUGGAACCGUUAAUAGAGUCAUUUUUAGAGUUUGGGUUGCUGCCAAUGAGAAUGUAACACUCCAGUCCUGCCAGUGAAAAAGCCUCAAUCAUCAGGAUAUAGAGCAGUGCAGGAGUGAAGGGAAGGUAAUGCCUGGACACCUGAUGUUCAUUCAGUUGUCCCAAAUCCCGACACCCUUCUCACCUCAAUCCCAGAGACCAAUAUGGACUUUGCAGUGUUGGAUGUGAAAGACGCCUUCUCUUGUGUCCCUGUGGGUGAACAGAGUCACCUUGUCUGUGCCUUUGAAUGGGAAAAGCCAACUCACAGCAGGGAAAUGAUAUCAAGCCCCUCAAGAUUUUAAUCUAACUUUGCAAUUUUUUUUCAGUUGUUCAUCAGUAGCUGCAGCUGGACAGCUGUGAUCAACAAAUUCCAUUGUGAACGUCCUGCACUCGGCUGAUCUUUUGUUUCAAGGAAAACAGGAGACAGCCCCAAGAGCAGUGGGCUGUCUGGACAGGAGCCUCCAGGAGUGUUGUCAGCAGGGCUGAGCAGUACGUGGGGAAAGGUAAUUCCAGCAGUGGGAGAUGGUGACCAGUGACCCACUGACCACCUGCUCAGAAUGGCCCCCGACUGAAAGAGAGGGAAGAGCUGCCCCUGCAGAGGGAGAGAUGAGCGUGGGAAGGGAGGGACACCCAGCACAGAGAGGUUCCAGUGCUAAUUGAUAACCACUUGUGUAACCUGUAA
This is a long non-coding RNA of Pseudopipra pipra, 1757 nucleotides long. RefSeq lists it as uncharacterized. The record is from RefSeq and is a predicted model, not a curated record. The transcript has 2 exons. NCBI's taxonomy places the organism in Eukaryota, Metazoa, Chordata, Aves, Passeriformes, Pipridae.